AGCGGAGCGUGUGGUUUAAUUCGAUGUUACACGAACGAACCUUACCAGGGUUUGACAUGCAAGUGGUAGGAAGCCGAAAGGUGACCGACCCUUCGGGGAGCUUGCACAGGUGCUGCAUGGCUGUCGUCAGCUCGUGUCGUGAGAUGUUCGGUUAAGUCCGCUAACGAGCGCAACCCUCGCUGUGUGUUAUAUGUGUCACACGGGACUGCCGGUCUUAAGCCGGAGGAAGGUGGGGAUGAUGUCAAGUCAGCAUGGCCUUUAUAUCCUGGGCUACACACACGCUACAAUGGCCAACACAAUAGGUUGCUAAGCCGCGAGGUGGCGCCAAUCCAUAAAGUUGGUCUCAGUUCAGAUUGUAGGCUGCAACCCGCCUGCAUGAAGAUGGAGUUGCUAGUAACCGCAGGUCAGCUAUACUGCGGUGAAUACGUUCCCGGGGCUU
This 439-nucleotide ribosomal RNA is filed under the name uncultured Leptolinea sp. Its description in RNAcentral is "bacterial SSU rRNA". It matches the Rfam family "Bacterial small subunit ribosomal RNA", at positions 931 to 1382 of the family's 1533-position model. Lineage: Bacteria; Bacillati; Chloroflexota; Anaerolineae; Anaerolineales; Anaerolineaceae. The record is from RNAcentral.